AAGUUUAAGGUGGUAGGCUGGAAUCUUAGGUAAAUCCGGGAUUCUAAGGCCGAGAGCUGAUGACGAGUUACCCUUUGGGUGACGAAGUGGUUGAUGCCAUGCUUCCAAGAAAAGCUUCUAAGCUUCAGGUAACCAGGAACCGUACCCCAAACCGACACAGGUGGUUGGGUAGAGAAUACCAAGGCGCUUGAGAGAACUCGGGUGAAGGAACUAGGCAAAAUGGCACCGUAACUUCGGGAGAAGGUGCGCCGGUGAGGGUGAAGGACUUGCUCCGUAAGCCCACGCCGGUCGAAGAUACCAGGCCGCUGCGACUGUUUAUUAAAAACACAGCACUCUGCAAACACGAAAGUGGACGUAUAGGGUGUGACGCCUCCCCGGUGCCGGAAGGUUAAUUGAUGGGGUUAGCUAACGCGAAGCUCUUGAUCGAAGCCCCGGUAAACGGCGGCCGUAACUAUAACGGUCCUAAGGUAGCGAAAUUCCUUGUCGGGUAAGUUCCGACCUGCACGAAUGGCGUAACGAUGGCGGCGCUGUCUCCACCCGAGACUCAGUGAAAUUGAAAUCGCUGUGAAGAUGCAGUGUAUCCGCGGCUAGACGGAAAGACCCCGUGAACCUUUACUAUAGCUUUGCACUGGACCUUGAAUUUGCUUGUGUAGGAUAGGUGGGAGGCUUUGAAGCGUGGACGCCAGUUCGCGUGGAGCCAACCUUGAAAUACCACCCUGGCAACUUCGAGGUUCUAACUCAGGUCCGUUAUCCGGAUCGAGGACAGUGUAUGGUGGGUAGUUUGACUGGGGCUCUCCUCCUAAAGAGUAACGGAGGAGUACGAAGGUGCGCUCAGACCGGUCGGAAAUCGGUCGUAGAGUAUAAAGGCAAAAGCGCGCUUGACUGCGAGACAGACACGUCGAGCAGGUACGAAAGUAGGUCUUAGUGAUCCGGUGGUUCUGUAUGGAAGGGCCAUCGCUCAACGGAUAAAAGGUACUCCGGGGAUAACAGGCUGAUACCGCCCAAGAGUUCAUAUCGACGGCGGUGUUUGGCACCUCGAUGUCGGCUCAUCACAUCCUGGGGCUGAAGCCGGUCCCAAGGGUAUGGCUGUUCGCCAUUUAAAGUGGUACGCGAGCUGGGUUUAGAACGUCGUGAGACAGUUCGGUCCCUAUCUGCCGUGGACGUUUGAGAUUUGAGAGGGGCUGCUCCUAGUACGAGAGGACCGGAGUGGACGAACCUCUGGUGUUCCGGUUGUCACGCCAGUGGCAUUGCCGGGUAGCUAUGUUCGGAAUAGAUAACCGCUGAAAGCAUCUAAGCGGGAAACUAGCCUCAAGAUGAGAUCUCACUGGGACCUUGAGUCCCCUGAAGGGCCGUCGAAGACUACGACGUUGAUAGGUUGGGUGUGUAAGCGCUGUGAGGCGUUGAGCUAACCAAUACUAAUUGCCCGUGAGGCUUGACC
This 1438-nucleotide ribosomal RNA is filed under the name metagenome. RNAcentral's name for it is "bacterial LSU rRNA". It matches the Rfam family "Bacterial large subunit ribosomal RNA", at positions 1508 to 2925 of the family's 2925-position model. The record is from RNAcentral.